UCGACGUGCACCGCCAUAGCCGGGAGGUGAGAUGAGGGAGAAGGUUGCCAUCGCCGCGCAGCAAUGCUCCUCGCCUCAGUCGGGAUGCGAACUCAGGCCUGGGGCUUCUCGACGUUGCCAGGGAGUUGUUCAUGGCUGCCCUGGAUGGAAUGGUGUUCGUGGCUCCAUCAAUUGCUCACCGGCACUAGAGCACCGCCGCAUCACCGCUGCGCGCCGGGGGCAGGGAUCAUCGCGACAUAAUCACUGGUAAUGACACCUUUGUGGCACUCACCUUUCCUUCCGCAUCAUGUAGCACCUCGCUGAAGUUCAAUUAGUGCACCUGGGUCUUGCGCCGGAGAAACGUCGAUGGACCUCUGCCUAGGGUCGCUCAGGUGCCGCCGUGGUCGGCCCACAGGGAAGAGGACCGGGAUACCGUUGAUGGUGGGGUGAACGGUUAGGAUUCGAUCAAGCUUGACUGGUUCAGGGUUGGAUCUGGGUCGUCUGUCCGUUAUUCAACGGGUGUGGAGCAAAUCGCGCCUAUUAAAAUCUGAGUUGUUGACGCUUGAUCGUGCGAUCUGUGCCACGUACCAAUUCAUUUAAUCGGUGACCUAAUCUGGUGCGUUGGAUCUCGAUCAGACGAUCCAGAUCCCGCGAUACCCCUUCGACCGGGUAUUUUCUUAACGAGACCCUCCACUUUAAGCUAUUCAACCCGCAGUCCAUGGAUCUUAUUCCCUGAGUCUUGGAAUUUUUGCACGCUAGCCCCUGUGCUCCUUGAAAAUUGAUGCACAGUCCAGAUAAUAAGGAAAACCAUAUAAAUAAUAUCAGAAAUUGAUUUUAACACAAAAAUAAUUCUAGGAACUUGUAAAAUCCAUAUAAAAUUUAUUUUAGCUCCUUUUCAGUUCAUUUCAGUUCCUAUAAUUUUGUAAUAUUAUUGUUUAUCACCUAGUGCCUCUGUUUUGACAUGAAAGUCAAAUUAAAAUUUAUAUCCUAUUUAAUCUUGUACAAAAAACAUAGAAUCUUGAGAAAUUCAUAACUUAAAAUCUAUAACUCCGAAUUGACCCGUUCCAGUUGCAUUAGCUUCUUAUGAAUAUUUACUAUGGAAUAACAACAUUUAUUGUACCAUGUCUUAUUUUUUAUAAUUAGACCUUUAUUUAACUUAUGUUGGCUAGUCUUGUUAAUAUGCUUAUCAUUAUAAUCUACUAGAAUAUGAUCUAAGGUCAAUUUAUAACUUAGAUUAAAGUUGAGAUAAUUAUUCAUAGAAUAACCUCUCAUAUGAUUUAUACUAACCAAUUUAUAAUAUAGUUCAUAUUUUAUUCACAUAGAUCUUCUAUAAAAUCAUAACUCCUUAAUCGUAACUCCGAUCUUAGUAAUUCUCGAACCCACGAUCUAGUAGCAACGCGUAGAUCAUUAUUAUUUAGUUUGUUCUUAUGUUUGGUGUGAUGUUAAUUUUAUCUAUACCAUGUUUGUUUGUAUUGGUACGACUAGCAGUGAGGUCACGAGUCACCUCAAGAUCAUCCUGGUACCUGGAAUCUCAAGUCGCAGGCAAGUUGUGCACUUGACCACAUUUGUUACCCAAUAAUGUUCUUUAUUAUCACUUAUUCAUGCUAUUGCUUACCCUAGUCUGAUUAUCUUUUACCUUGUUUACCCCUGAAUCACUUGGGUAGUUUUGUUAUUGCUUUAUAUGGUUUUGGGUUAAUAUUUCCUUAUAUCUAUGAUCCAAUUAUUCUAUUAUGUUAUUUAUGUUCAUGUCAAGAUCAUUAUAUUAUGUUAAUUGGAACAUGGAGCUUAACUUGAGAAACACGUGCUACCACAAGGGUGGAAUGGGACACCCUUGGCUGACUAAUUAGGAAAGCUAGUGGAAGACUACCUUACUCGAAAGGGGCAAGGGCAGUAGCGGAGUUGCAUGCAGGGAGGUUCUCAGGUUAAUUUAGUUGCGAUGGCGGUCAGACGAGAGAUUCUUGAAAGUGCUCUUCCUAUAAACUGUAGCAGGUUUUCGAAAACUAGUGGAACUAUGUAAAGGCCUCGUAGUGUUACCUGUCACACCCGGUUCGAGGGGCAGAGCUGGGUGCAUCGCAUACGUGUGCCAAGAUCCAUUUUUCACACAUAUGUUGACGUCACAAGUGUAAUAUAUCAAAAGACAAUAUGAUAAAGGCGUAAAGAGAGUAGAGUACUUUAUUACAUCAUCUGAAUCAUUGUAUCUAUAACAAGUAUCAACAUCAAAGUAGGGCGGAAUUAAAUAUAGGCACCCUUCCACAGGAAGGUGACCGGCGCAUCGUUAGACUCAAUAUUCAUCGAAAUCUCCAUCAAUGUCUUCUUCAUCACCCUCUGAUCAAAAUAUUAGCAAGGGUGAGCUCACUUAUGGUCGGGGCUCAGCAAGUGGGGGAAAAAUUAAUGCAAGUUUAACAAGGUGAGGCUAAGGUUGAGCAGUAAGCAUUUUAGUUGGUCAAUAUUUUAUUAACAACACCUGUCUUACUAAUAAGUGUGAAUCCCAAGUAUCCCAUUUAAACAAAGGUAUAUGAGUAUAUCAAAAACACUUAAGUGAAACCACUUAAGCAAACCAUUGGCAGAUCAUCGGAUCUCGAUUUAUUGUCCAUCUUCAAGUUCAAUUAUCAUGUGAGGGUCUAGGUUGCUCUUAACCGUGAGCACGGCUGACAUAUCAGUUUUACACUAUGUAGAGGUGGUACAACUUUACCCACAAUCCAUGUAUCCCAUCUAGCCUGGGUUGAUCAGACCCAUAAACACUACCAAGGUGAAUGGCUAGGGAUCCAUUAUGAGGCUUUCACAAAAUACACUUAAUACAAAGCAACCCGCUAAGGUUUCCAAGUCGGUGUUGAGGCCCUCUUGGCGAGGUACCUUAGCCAAGAAUAUGUCCCCAUGUUAACGUGAGCUGCCACCACUGCCGCUCCCCCUCUUGCCCAUAUUGCAGGUAAGGUUGCUAGGUACUAAGCAUAUAAAGCUCAUUACCAAAGCCAGAGCCAUGAUAGCACUCGUGGUUGCAUUGUUAUCCUAGGUGGUCACUCCAUGUUCCAAUUAAUAUAAAAUAAUCUUGUUUAACCAUCGGGUUAACACCAUAAUGCCAAAUUCAUUUCUGGAACAUUAAUAUCAAAUAAUGAGUGACAUCAAAAUUAUCAAGUUGAGCGGUAGCACAAAUUUGCAAUGCAAAGUAUUUUCCCAGGGUAAUCAAGGAAUACAGUUGGUAAAUCUAGGAAAUCCUUAAUUAGGCCAAUCCUAUCAAAUUAUGCAAUAUAUCCAAAAAAUAAAUAUUAUUAUAUGCAUUAAUUAGGUACAAAUAGAAUAUGCAGAGGGAGAAUCCACUUGCCUUGAUCAAACGUGUCCUGCGGGUCAUCCUCGAACGUGUUAGGCUCGUCUAACUCACAGUCCACUUCUAGCAUCGAUUUGUGUAUCGCACAUACAAAAGAAUAUGUACGCCAAAUAAAUAAACAUACACUAGUACAUGGGUAAUCAUUCACCAUUUACAUUCACAUUCAUACAUCACACUUAUCACACUCAUAAAUACGUCCUAAAGCGUAAAUACUUAUUAACUCAUUUAUGACUAUUACUGCGAGUCAUUAUUGAUGAAAUUAUGAGUAGGUGCUAUGUUCAUAGUUUUAACUAGUAUUAAUAUGCAUUAACAUUCUUUAUGAAAAAUAAAGACUAAUUAUUUUUUUUAUUACUAAUAAAUAGACUAAUAGAUUUUAUUCCUUUUAUUUCUAACUUGAAUUUAUGCGUAUAGUUAAAAAUGGUUUAUUCAUGAUUCUUCUAACAUUAAUAUUCUAAGAAUCAAUAUAAAUCACUAAUUGGACUUUUAAUAACAUAAACAUGUUUAUUAUGACAAAAACAAGUGUUUUACUAAUCUUAAGAAUUUAAGUGCUAUAAUCAUGAACCCAUUUAUUUUGGCUAGUAAAAAUCUAUUUUCAUUACUACCAGUGGUAUUCUUUUAGUUUUCUCCUUUCUUUAUAAAAGAAAGUAUUAUUAAAAUAAUUGGAGAUAAAUCAUCUAUUAACCUAUAAUAUUUAUAUUUCAUGAAAUCUAUACCAUUUACUAAUUCCAUGUUAAGAAAAGUUUCUAUUAUCUAUUAAAACGAACUUAUGAUUAUAACCUUCUAAAUAAUUUCCAAAAUUCAUUGUGAACAAAAUUAACUAUAAAAUUACCUAUCUAGUGUUUUUAUCACCAACAUGUGUCUAUCCAUUUUUGUCAUACUUCUCUCUAAUUUGACUUUCGAAAAGUCAUCGUAAACAAAUAAUAUGAAUAAUCACGGUGCACUAAUUUAUCGCAUAUAUUUACCAAAAAAAUCCAUAGCGCACAUUUGCAUGAAUUUCGAAUCACAACAUGCUCAUAUUACAACACAAUAAUUAUAGAAUUCACAAACUGAAUCAAAAUGAUUUUAAAAAUACAUAAAAUAUUUUGGGUCGUCUUCAACCUCGCGAUGAACGGUGGACGGCUUGGGCGUGCGUCUAGGCGAAGGUUUGGUACAGCGGUUGGCGUAGCUCCAGCGAGCUCCACGGGCUCCAGCGACGGCGUGGCGAACUGUAGCACCCAAAAAUAGUAUUAUGGAUUUCUAGUAGGAUAAUACGAAGAUUUGAAUCAUGAUAUUCUUUUAUGCAAAUUAUAUCACCUUUUAAGUCACAUCUUCUUAAACAAAUACAGCUAAAUACUAAAAGAUUUAAUAAUAUUAUAUAAAAUAAGUUAUUAUUUGUUUUAAAAAAAUGUUUAGAAAUUUUAUCUGGAAUAAAUAUUACUAAAUUUGUGCAAUACAAAUUAUUUCAUUAAAGCAUAUAUAUGAUGAUACAUUUUACAUAAACCAUACUUUAUUGAAUUAUAUGUUUUGUGGCAUGAACAAAGGAAUCAGUAUAAAUAAAUAUAUAAUUUAUACCUGCAUUGUCAUGCUGAGAUUUCUGUUUGAUGCAUCUAAUACAUGUUUGAAAUUCAGAAUCAAACUUAGGGUUGAAAUGAGAAAUGAAAAUAUAAAAUAGAAAAAAAUGAAUAAGUAACCUGGGCCGUGGUCUUCGUUUUUGGCCCAUCUUGGCCGUCCCCGCCAGCCCAACCCGCGUCUGCACGCGCGUGUGCUUGCCUCUGGCUCGCUGACCGCUGGGCCGCUUUCUGACCACACUACCGCUCGCGCCGCGUGGUGUGCCCUGGUGCCUGCCGCUGACGGCUGGGACCACCAGGCCAGACACGCCCGCGACGCGUUGCCACCGACUGGUGGGGCCCCUAUGUCGGGUCGUUCGUCCCCAACGGAUCGCGAACCAGGCAGAGCUCGCAGCGAAUUCUCCGGCGAAAUCUCCGCGCUCGCGCAGUCAACCUGAAUCUGUUGAACUCGGAUUCAGCCCAGGGUAUAAAUCGUGCCGCUCCUUCCCCCUAUCGUCCCAAGUCGCGAGCCUGGCUAGUCGCCAUGGGCGGUAGUAGAUGGAGGACGGUGCCGCCACCGCCGAAUUGAUCCGCGCCGCGGCGAGUUCGGCGCCGUAUCGCCACUCCGCCUUCCUAUCCGCGCUUUGGUCUCCGUCGUCCCAGUUCCCAUCUCCGGCCACCACUAUUUCUGACUCGGUCAGCACUGAUCGGGAUUUCUCAUCACGGGAACUCAAGCCGCCGCAUCCACUUCGCACGAGCACCGUAGUUCAACCAUCCCUGGGUGGUCUGGCGGAUUCAACAGGGUGCAUGGAUCGUGCUCAGGACUAUUGGACCAGGGAAUCAUGGGUCCCGUGGAUGGAAUUGCUCACCGGAUCGGGCUCACCCGCGGCCGCGCCGCAUCACACCAUGGUCGGAGUCGUCAUCGCAAAAUCAUUGGUAAGCGCCACGUUCCCUGUGUUAAUUUCACACACCCGAAGUAUAGAGCCGAUUGAGCUAGACGAUAGAUCACCGGAGCCCUUAGAAUUUCACGCCGGUGUGGUCGAUGGCCGCGGGGCCGCUGCGCCUCGUGGGCAGACCACCUCCAUCGCUUCAAACCUUCAAUUGAAUGCACCACCAUGCUAGCUAUUUUAUCUAGUCCAAUUUGGAGUAAUCGGUAGGGGAUUUUGGUCACCAGGCAUGGUUAUGCUCUUUCGCCGGCGUGUUCCACCGCUGCGGCACGGGGCGGCGCCGCCUCAGUCCGGCGAUGUUUAGGAAGAUGGUCGUUCCACCAUUAGAUGAUAGCUAGACGGAAGGGAUUAGAUCGUGUGAACCGUUUGAGUCUUCACCCUUGGAUCAUAAUCGGACAGAUCAUAUGAACUACCACCAAUUUAAAUCUGAGCCGCACGUUUCGGAUCGGGCGUGUGAGAAUUAGGCAGACUAAGGUCUAAUCUGAGGCGCACAUAUUUGAUCCAAUGGCCGAUCUCGUUCCAUACCGCUUCAGUCUGGAUUUUUAUUAAAAAGCCCCCGCCCUUCUAAGUUAUCAACCUGCGGUACAUCGAAGCCGUGCCCUGUGUCUUGUGAUUUUUUUAUACCAGACCCCCUGGGUUUCUCUGUUUUUGACGCGCAAUCCAGGCAAUGAUAAAAAGCUGUAAAAUCAUUUGGAAAUUGAUUUUUAGUGUAAAAUAAAUGCUAGAACUUGUUUAAUUUAUAGAGAAUGCAUACUUAGUCCAAAUUGACCCAUUUCAGUCUCUAUAGUUUUGUAAUAAUAUUAUCUAUCACUUAGUACCACUGUUUUGACAUGAAAUCUAUAUUAAGGGCCCGUUUGGCACAGCUCCAGCUCCUGAUUCUAAGCGAGGAUCUGGAGGAGCCGUGCCAAACGGGUAUUUUUUUAAACUGAUUCUCGUGUGGAGCUGAAAGAUCAGGAGUCGUUUUUGUGAAGAAAUGUGGGAUCUAAAAAAACCUGCUCCACCCUCCCUUAAAACAGCUCCUCAACCAACCAAAUAUGGACCUCCCCUUAAAGUUUGAUCGAAAUUACCUGCAAUUGCCAUUGGACAAAAACAUAACGAGCCAAUUUAUGGAUUAAACAUUUGAGACCAUUUUAUGCACUACUAUGAUGAAAAUAUUUUAUAUGUUAUUGUUUCAUAAUUUUUUUUCGUAUAUGCAUCCUACUUAUUAGUUUAUAAUAAAGUUGAACUACAAAGGGUAAAACAGACAAUCGCCACAAACCACCAACUUUCAGAAGACAAGAAUCAAUUUACUUGCCAAACGGUUUUAAAAAUGAUUCUGAUUCUCUAGGAGAAUCAGGAGGAUUAGCUCCUCACAAGGAUCAGGAUCUGGAGCUAAAGAAGCAGGAGCCGGAGCUUUGCCAAACGGGCCCUAAAUUGGAUCACCUAAUUAAUUUUGUAUCAUGCACAUACAGACUUCGGAAAUUCAUAACUCCUCCGUUUUAAAUCCGAUUUGACUCGUUCAAGUUGUGUUAGCCUCGUAUAGAUAUUUACUACGCAGUAGCAUUAUUGAUUAUAUGAUAUCCCAUACUUUUAUAAUUAAGUAACUAAUUGGAUCAAUCUAUGUUUAUUGGAAUAACUUUUCUAAUAUUGAUAUAAUAUUCUGAUCUUAUGAUUAUAAUUUGAUUCAAAUAUAAUCUUUAGUAAAGUUAUAAUUAAGAUUAAAGAUGAAUUCAUUAUUUCCUUAGAUUAUCUUUAUAGAAUCAAUUCAAGACCUAGUUUAAUUGCUUCAUCACAUAGAUCUCCCGUAAAUCACAACAUAGUAGUCGUAACUCCGAUCUUAGUGAUUCUCGUUUUCGCGAUCUCGUAGCACUCGUAGAGUAUUAUUAUUCAGUUUGUACUUAUGGUUGGUGUGAUGUCAAUUUUAUCUGUACCAUGUUUGUUUGUAUUGCUACGACUAGCAGUGCGGUCACGAGGAUCUGAAGAAUCACCCUGGUAACUGGAAUAUCAAGUGCCAGGCAAGUUGUGCCCUUGAUCACUUUCAUUUACCCAAUAAUGCCCUUUAUUAUUACUUGUCAAUGCAUAGGUUUAAUUUUGAUGGGACCUAAUUGGUCACCCUAGACUGUUUAUCUUUUUACCUUGUUUACCCCUGAUUCACUUGGGUAGUUAUGCUAUUGCCUUACACGGUUUCUGGGUUAAUAUUUCAUUAUAUCCAUGUUCCUAUUAUUUUGUUAUGUUAUUUAUGUUCAUAAUAAGAUCAUUAUGUUAAUGGGAACAUGGAGCGACCACCCGGGAAAACAGUGCUACCACAAGGGUUUAAUGGGACGCCCUUGGCUGAUUAACUAGGAAAGCUAGUGGAUGACUACCUUACCCGAAAGGGGCAAGGGCAGUAGGGGAGUGGUCAAUGUAGGGAGGUCCUUGAGUUGAUUUUGCUGCGAUGGCGGUUAGGCAAGGGAUUCCUGCACUGGAGCUUCCUAUAAAUUGUAGCGGGUUUUCUGAAGCUAGUGGAACUUUGUAAAGGCCUCGUAGUGUUACCCUGCCUCCCCUCCUCGGUAGAGGUGUAUGGGAUUCAUGACCCCUUGGCAGAUGGGUAAUAUGACUUGUGGGUAAAGAUGCGCAACCUUUGCAGAGUGUAAAACUGGUAUACUAGCCGUGCUCACGGUCAUGAGCAGCUCGGACCCUCACAUGAUUAAUUUAUGAAACCUAAAUUCAAUUUGUCAUUUGCAUUUGCAUGGGAUUGUUUGUUAAUUUUGUUCUAUUAUUUAUUAUGUUUGGUAUUUACUUACAUUUAGUAACUGCUAAUAAAAUUUUGACCAACUUAUUAAAAGCAAUGCUCAGCUUUAACCCCUAUCAUUGAUCAGCCUUACACUUCACAUGGACUCCCACCUUUGGUGAGUUCAUGCCACAUUAUUCCCCACAACUUGUUGAGCGAUGAACAUGUGUGAGCUCACCCUUGCUGUCUCACACACUCCACAGGUCAAGGACAUGUACUACAGGAUGAGGCGCAUGGAGGAUGUUGUGUUGUGUUUGUGAGAGGUCUAGGUCGUCGUCCCCCAGUCGACUUUCUAGCGCCAAGGAUGGAUUUUAGAUCCUGUUAUAUUUAUCUUUUAUUUUUGUAAGUAUUCCGCUAUGUAAUAAAUACUCUGAUUUUAU
RNAcentral lists this long non-coding RNA (8903 nucleotides) under Zea mays. Its description in RNAcentral is "long non-coding RNA (ZMAY_LNC003626)". The record is from RNAcentral. Lineage: Eukaryota; Viridiplantae; Streptophyta; Magnoliopsida; Poales; Poaceae.